Molecule: small nuclear RNA, 20 nt
Filed under: Arabidopsis thaliana (thale cress)
Lineage: Eukaryota; Viridiplantae; Streptophyta; Magnoliopsida; Brassicales; Brassicaceae
Description: snRNA_00917
Source: RNAcentral
GUCCGACUUUGUGAAAUGAC